This 320-nucleotide long non-coding RNA is filed under the name Phaseolus vulgaris (common bean). RNAcentral describes it as "long non-coding RNA (PVUL_LNC000225)". Lineage: Eukaryota; Viridiplantae; Streptophyta; Magnoliopsida; Fabales; Fabaceae. The record is from RNAcentral.
CUGGAUCCUCCACGCCGGUAAAGACAGCCUUAACCGGAACCACGCUCGUAGGAAUAGGCGUGUCAGUAAUCGCCUGAACAAAAGGCAUAGGGAAAACACGAGGUGGCGAUGACGGCGCCACCUCUUCAGCAGAAGAACGCCCUUGCUGCUCCUGAAGAGCUUGACGCAGCUCCUCAGUCACCUUGCUGAGCUCCUCAUUCCUGGCGCGAGAGGCGACCAGGUCCUCAUGCAUUCUCGCCUGCUCUAUGCGUGAGGCUUCCACAGUUGCCUGCAACGAACGCAUCAUCUCUGCCAUCUGCGCCAUGGUCAUGGCAGCGGCG